CCUUAGUUACCAGCACGUUAUGGUGGGCACUCUAAGGAGACUGCCGGUGCAAACCGGAGGAAGUGGGGAUGACGUCAAGUCAUCAUGGCCCUUACGGCCUGGGCUACACACGUGCUACAAUGGUCGGUACAAAGGGUUGCCAAGCCGCGAGGUGGAGCUAAUCCCAUAAAACCGAUCGUAGUCCGGAUCGCAGUCUGCAACUCGACUGCGUGAAGUCGGAAUCGCUAGUAAUCGUGAAUCAGAAUGUCACGGUGAAUACGUUCCCGGGCCUU
Molecule: ribosomal RNA, 272 nt
Filed under: uncultured Pseudomonas sp.
Lineage: Bacteria; Pseudomonadati; Pseudomonadota; Gammaproteobacteria; Pseudomonadales; Pseudomonadaceae
Description: partial 16S ribosomal RNA
Rfam family: Bacterial small subunit ribosomal RNA
Source: RNAcentral